UGGACCCACCUGAGACCAUACCGAACUCAGAAGUGAAACGCUGUAAUGCCGAUGGUAGUGUGGGGUUUCCCCAUGUGAGAGUAGGGCACCGCCAGGU
RNAcentral lists this ribosomal RNA (97 nucleotides) under Haemophilus influenzae. Lineage: Bacteria; Pseudomonadati; Pseudomonadota; Gammaproteobacteria; Pasteurellales; Pasteurellaceae. The record is from RNAcentral.